Molecule: ribosomal RNA, 259 nt
Filed under: Clostridioides difficile
Lineage: Bacteria; Bacillati; Bacillota; Clostridia; Peptostreptococcales; Peptostreptococcaceae
Description: partial 23S ribosomal RNA
Rfam family: Bacterial large subunit ribosomal RNA
Source: RNAcentral
CACUGGUCGAGUGAUCCUGCGCCGAAGAUUUCCGGGGCUAAAACUUACUACCGAAGCUACGGCAUCAGUAAUGAUGGGUAGGGGAGCUUCCCAUACGGGUUGAAGCAUGACCGUAAGGACAUGUGGACAGUCUGGGAGUGAGAAUGUUGGCAUGAGUAGCGAGAUGUGGGUGAGAAUCCCACAGGCCGUAAACCCAAGGUUUCCAGGGGAAGGUUCGUCCGCCCUGGGUUAGUCGGGACCUAAGCUGAGGCCGAAAGGC